This 1245-nucleotide long non-coding RNA is filed under the name Homo sapiens (human). Its description in RNAcentral is "HSALNT0018391". Lineage: Eukaryota; Metazoa; Chordata; Mammalia; Primates; Hominidae. The record is from RNAcentral.
GUCGUUUAUUAUCAUUUUGAAGUAUUAUGUAUUGCACAUAAUCAUGUGUGCUACCUUUUUAUAUGACUGGCAGCAUGGUAGGUUUGUUUACACCAGCAUCACAACAAACAUGUGAGUAAUACAUUGCGGUACAGUGUUACAAUGGCUUUGUCGCUAGGUGAUAAGAAUUUUUCAGCUCCAUUAUAAUCUUAUGGGACUAAUGUCAUAUAUGUAGUCCAUCGAUGAUCAAAAUGUCAUUAUGGGGCACAUGACUAUAAAUGUACCUCUUGAGGACUGGCCUUUCUGACAGCUUUUUUUUUUAGUUUUGAGGAUCAAACCCUUGGGGCCAUUGAUUCAUUGGAUCAUUCAGCAAAUGAUCAAAUGGGUAAUUUGCGGUACAAUCUAAGCAAAGGAAAACCUGAAGAUGUCCAUUUCUUCAAGGAAGCUCUAAUCUGGAACAGCAAUAAAUUCUCUACGCAAAAGAGAAACACUCAAGGCAGUAAGGUAACAGCUCUGAAAGUGCUAAAAAUAUGGAGGGGAGCGAGCGAUAACUUGUAUGGUCACCAUUGACCUUGCUGAUGCAGAAAUAAAUCAUCUUUACUCUUCAUUCUCUUGAAUUCUCACCUACCCUGCCACCUCAUCCAAAAUUUGUUAAUUCUAUGUGCAAAACAUCUUUCAAAUCCACCCCUCUCUCUUCAUCCUCACUGCCCCCAUCCUAGUCCACAUCAAUGCCAGUCUUCUGAUUUUCCUGUCCCUAGUCUGAUCUUCUCCCAAUGCACUCUGCAGAGUGACCUUUAUGAAAUGUAGAUCUGAUUAUGCCACGUUCCCACUUUAAAAGCCUCUAGAGGUGUGAACCUCUAGAGUCUUCUAGAAUCUGACUUCCAUUCUCUGUCCAGCUUUAUUUCUUGCUGGACUACUCUAUGCUCCAGCCAUAUUGGUCAAAAAUUGUUUUAGUUUCUGGAACCUAUGGUGAUCCUCUCACCGAGGCCUGCUAUUUUCUCUUACUGGAACUCUGUCCCCUCCCCUGGGCACCCUCCCGCCUCUGGCCUAGCGAAUUCCUUCCAUCUUCCGGUCUCAGUUCCUCCAAGAAACCUUCUCACCUAACCCGUCCGGUCAGGGUACUUUCCUUACCUAACACCCACUCCCUCGUUUACUUCUCUUUGGCUGGACUGAAGUUGGGCAGGGCAGGGGCUAGUCUGCCUUCUUCUGGGCCCAACCCUCCCGGCCGGCACCACAGGCAUUACAGGAGAGUGAAGGAGUCUGAUC